Non-coding RNA from Mycena rosella, 98 nucleotides. The record is from the annotation of a GenBank genome assembly. NCBI's taxonomy places the organism in Eukaryota, Fungi, Basidiomycota, Agaricomycetes, Agaricales, Mycenaceae.
GCACCCUUGGUGUAGAGGUAACACGCUGCGUUCCUAUGCAGAGUUCCUAACGCUUAAUAAAUAAAACAGAGACCGGGGUUUGAAGCCCCGAGGGUGCA